RNAcentral lists this ribosomal RNA (112 nucleotides) under Mola mola (ocean sunfish). The record is from RNAcentral. Lineage: Eukaryota; Metazoa; Chordata; Actinopteri; Tetraodontiformes; Molidae.
GUUUACCGCCACAGCAGCCUGAGAACGCCUGAUCUCGUCCAAUCUCAGAAGCUAAGCACGGUUUGGCCUGGUUCGUAAGCCUGGAAAUAGCAGAAAUACAGGGCGAUGAAGG